Molecule: long non-coding RNA, 615 nt
Organism: Patella vulgata (common limpet)
Lineage: Eukaryota; Metazoa; Mollusca; Gastropoda; Patellidae
Exons: 4
Source: RefSeq, a predicted model, not a curated record
UUUUAUUGCGUUGUGUCACUGGGCAACUCACAAACGGACAAUUCAAUUUUAAAUUAGCUGACGAAGAGAAGGGAGCUUGUUCUCUUUAGUCUCGAGAAUAAUCUCAUUCCAUGGUAAUGGAGAUUGGAAGUAGGCAAAAUCUAGUAUAAUAAGUCACAGCAUGGGCCAUGAUUUCAAGUUACCUCAUUCAGCCAUUGCUGAAAGAUGUUUUUAUUUAAACAAGUUGUUUGAUGUGUGAAUGAUAGAGGUCCAUAUCAAUGACAGAGAUAUGAUUGGGUAUAUAUAGGUCGUAGAGAUGAUGACCAUAUUGCUGGGUGAAGAUGAUGGGACAGUUUUAUAUCAUGGAUCAGGUAAUCUUAAAAGGCAAGUCCUGAUUGAUUUUAUCACCAACGCCAGAAAUAUCUAAACCAGUCCAUGGUUUAUAAUAUUCCUUAUUAUUUAGUAAUUAAAAAGGUGAAUAUUAUUCUUUUAAAAAAGCGCUGCCGUUCUCAACAGGUCUUAUGUGUGGUUGGAAACUGUUUGGAUGCCAUUGUUGCAGGCUGGUUGCUACCCCCACUGUUUGCUAUUAAUCCUCUAAUAAAUACUAACAUUUCCAAAUGUAAAUUUCAGCAUUAU